UCUAACUGAAUAUAUUAUACAGAAUACGGUGGCACUGAGAACAUGGGCGUUUGUCGGAUUCUAAGAAGAGGGAGGGGCUAAGCCCCGAGGGGAGCGCUUUGAUAAUAUUUUGGGGCCCCUGAUAUCCAUUGUUAGAGGCAGAAUUUCAGGGUCAUAGUGAUAUUUUAUGCUCAUUUGAAGACUAUCACUGAGAUAGAGAUGAACUAGUUCAGUGGAGAGAAAAAUACAAUAUUCAUAUAUAUUAAUGCAAAGAAUAGAGAGAUGUCGAUACGUAUUUCUUGUAUUUCGAAUUCCCUCGUUCACACUCGCUCUAUGGAGAGAGUUUCUAAGUUUCCCUACAUUUGCUUCAAGUAAAGAUAAAUGUAAGCAGGAAACAAUCGUUAAUAAUUACCAAUAGCCACAUUCUCUAACUACCUGGACUUAAUAAUUCCUUUAAACUAACCUCCUGUCUGAAGCUCCCCUAAAAUAGGCCCAACGACGCCCCCGACUCAGACCCACACACUCAAAAAACUGAUUCUUGGCCCUCAUAAACAUUAAACAAUAUUUUUAAGUAAAACGUAACUGAAAUAUAUAAAAUCUAAAGUGUAUUCAUUAAAACCACUUAAACACAAUGUAAAUAUGCUUCGUAUAACCUGAACAUAAACAAAUCAAGUAAACGUUACUUGAUUGGAUCACAGAAGGAGCAUCUGUGAGUGCAGGAAACACUUCACCACGUGACCUCUUGAGUGGACUUGUCAUUCUGACCGACAGAGCGACCGAGCGUGACAAAGUUAUUAGGUACACCAUUCAAGCCAAAUCCACAAAGCAUCUUUCAUCCUGUGGCAACCUCUCAUUUUAGGUGGAGGAUGUCAAAUACACAGCCAACAUAACUAAGGUCGUCAGCAACAGAGGAGGAGCUGCUGGAAGGAAGAUCCGACUCCUCAUGGCUCCAACAGCUAA
Pseudoliparis swirei is the source of this 939-nucleotide long non-coding RNA. RefSeq lists it as uncharacterized. The transcript is spliced from 3 exons. NCBI's taxonomy places the organism in Eukaryota, Metazoa, Chordata, Actinopteri, Perciformes, Liparidae. The record is from RefSeq and is a predicted model, not a curated record.